UACGGAGGGUGCAAGCGUUGUUCGGAAUUAUUGGGCGUAAAGCGCACGUAGGCGGGCGCGUAAGUCGAUUGUGAAAGCCCGGGGCUUAACCUCGGAAUUGCAGUCGAAACUGCGCGUCUUGAGUGCUUGAGAGGGUGGCGGAAUUCCUGGUGUAGAAGUGAAAUUCGUAGAUAUCAGGAGGAACACCCGAGGCGAAGGCGGCCACCUGGCAAGACACUGACGCUGAGGUGCGAAAGCGUGGGGAGCAAACAGG
RNAcentral lists this unclassified non-coding RNA (253 nucleotides) under uncultured Oligoflexaceae bacterium. RNAcentral's name for it is "contains 16S-23S intergenic spacer region". It matches the Rfam family "Bacterial small subunit ribosomal RNA", at positions 524 to 776 of the family's 1533-position model. The record is from RNAcentral. Lineage: Bacteria; Pseudomonadati; Bdellovibrionota; Oligoflexia; Oligoflexales; Oligoflexaceae.